Small nucleolar RNA from Rhododendron vialii, 93 nucleotides. The record is from RefSeq and is a predicted model, not a curated record. NCBI's taxonomy places the organism in Eukaryota, Viridiplantae, Streptophyta, Magnoliopsida, Ericales, Ericaceae.
UGAAAUGAUGAAAUGUGCACUGGGCUCUGAGUAGUUGUACUCCAACUACUUUUUGAUGGAUAACUCCGCUGCCUAGAAAGCUAUUUCUGAUCU